GACGAACGCUGGCGGCGUGCCUAAUACAUGCAAGUCGAGCGAAGUUUUUCUGGUGCUUGCACCGGAAAAACUUAGCGGCGAACGGGUGAGUAACACGUAAAGAACCUGCCCCAUAGACUGGGACAACUAUUGGAAACGAUAGCUAAUACCGGAUAACAGCAUUAACUGCAUGGUUGAUGUUUAAAAGUUGGUUUUGCUAACACUAUGAGAUGGCUUUGCGGUGCAUUAGCUAGUUGGUGGGGUAAAGGCCUACCAAGGCGACGAUGCAUAGCCGACCUGAGAGGGUGAUCGGCCACACUGGGUCUGAGACACGGCCCAGACUCCUACGGGAGGCAGCAGUAGGGAAUCUUCCGCAAUGGGCGAAAGCCUGACGGAGCAACGCCGCGUGAGUGAAGAAGGAUUUCGGUUCGUAAAGCUCUGUUGUUAGGGAAGAAUGAUUGUGUAGUAACGAUACACAGUAGAGACGGUACCUAACCAGAAAGCCACGGCUAACUACGUG
Molecule: ribosomal RNA, 499 nt
Filed under: uncultured bacterium
Lineage: Bacteria
Description: partial 16S ribosomal RNA
Rfam family: Bacterial small subunit ribosomal RNA
Source: RNAcentral